CUUUACUGUAGCCUGGAAUUGGGUUCGGGCUUCGCUUGCGCAGGAUAGGUGGGAGGCUGUGAGACUGCCCUUGUGGGGGCAGUGGAGCCAACGGUGAGAUACCACUCUGGCGAAGCUAGAACUCUAACCGGUAGCCGUGAAUCCGGCACUGGAACCGUUUCAGGUGGGCAGUUUGACUGGGGCGGUCGCCUCCUAAAUUGUAACGGAGGCGCGCAAAGGUUCCCUCAGCACGGUUGGAAAUCGUGCAUAGAGUGUAAAGGCAAUAAGGGAGCUUGACUGCAAGAGCAACAACUCAAGCAGGGACGAAAGUCGGCCUUAGUGAUCCGACGGCACUGCGUGGAAAGGCCGUCACUCAACGGAUAAAAGUUA
Molecule: ribosomal RNA, 369 nt
Filed under: uncultured organism
Description: bacterial LSU rRNA
Rfam family: Bacterial large subunit ribosomal RNA
Source: RNAcentral